CUGGGCUGCAUGGACAUAAUCACAAACCGCGUCAAUCGACAGUCUUUUACAACUCAAAAAGUUGGACCAUAAGCUGAUCUUCCCUGCAGUUUUUGGAGCCCAGCUGUCACCUGUCCCCCUUGACUGGAAUAAGCAUACGUCACAGAAAAUCCCAGAGCCUCACACGUCGGACCAAACCCAUCCCUGUGUGUCAGCCACUGACCUACCUGAGGAGUUGACGGUAGAGCUCUUAGCUUAGUUAAGGGUGACACUGCUGGUGCAUUUGCUCUCAGCACAAAGACAAAAGUCCUACCCAGCCCAAAGAAAGAUCUUCCAGUGGUACAAGCACUGCAUUUUACAGCUUUUAACGCUUAACGUUUGUUUGUUUCUGUUCUUUUUUUCUGUUUGUUUGUUUUUCGUGAUUUCUGCCAAAUUAUGCAAAUAAUGUUGGCUGUCCUACAUUGGGUCAGGUCCUCUACUACUGGCCAAUGAGAAGGAAGGCUCGUGUGCUUGAUGUGUUGUGGUUGUAUGGAUGACUCUGCAGGAUGUGCUAUCUAGCACCAUUGUUGUGCUUCUACAUUCACUAUGAUACAUGUUUUUUUUUUUCAGCCCAAAAGUUGUAGAGACAAAAGCAGGGUUAAAAUGGACAAGAAAAAACAUCUAACAGCGCCCAUAGCCAAACCCACAGCUGUUAAGCUGCAAACUAGAAACUUGACUCUUGUCAUGUUUGUCGUAACCACUGAACUACACUGAAGCUGGAAGCUGGAGGAGUAAAACUUUCUCACAAAGCUCUGCAUCAGCAUCCCUGUCUUUGAACAAAGUCCUUCACAAAGGGUAUUUAUGUCUUUUAUGUCAAGUGCUAUCUUCUUAUUAAAAUCCACAUA
This is a long non-coding RNA of Fundulus heteroclitus (mummichog), 863 nucleotides long. RefSeq lists it as uncharacterized. The record is from RefSeq and is a predicted model, not a curated record. Lineage: Eukaryota; Metazoa; Chordata; Actinopteri; Cyprinodontiformes; Fundulidae. The transcript has 4 exons.